Molecule: ribosomal RNA, 438 nt
Filed under: Enterococcus faecalis TX0855
Lineage: Bacteria; Bacillati; Bacillota; Bacilli; Lactobacillales; Enterococcaceae
Description: bacterial SSU rRNA
Rfam family: Bacterial small subunit ribosomal RNA
Source: RNAcentral
AACCUACCCAUCAGAGGGGGAUAACACUUGGAAACAGGUGCUAAUACCGCAUAACAGUUUAUGCCGCAUGGCAUAAGAGUGAAAGGCGCUUUCGGGUGUCGCUGAUGGAUGGACCCGCGGUGCAUUAGCUAGUUGGUGAGGUAACGGCUCACCAAGGCCACGAUGCAUAGCCGACCUGAGAGGGUGAUCGGCCACACUGGGACUGAGACACGGCCCAGACUCCUACGGGAGGCAGCAGUAGGGAAUCUUCGGCAAUGGACGAAAGUCUGACCGAGCAACGCCGCGUGAGUGAAGAAGGUUUUCGGAUCGUAAAACUCUGUUGUUAGAGAAGAACAAGGACGUUAGUAACUGAACGUCCCCUGACGGUAUCUAACCAGAAAGCCACGGCUAACUACGUGCCAGCAGCCGCGGUAAUACGUAGGUGGCAAGCGUUGUCCG